UCCGUAGGUGGAUGAUUAAGUCAGGGGUGAAAUCCCGCGGCUCAACCGUGGAAUUGCCCUUGAUACUGGUUGUCUUGAGUCGUUGUGAAGUGGUUGGAAUAUGUAGUGUAGCGGUGAAAUGCAUAGAUAUUACAUAGAACACCGAUUGCGAAGGCAGAUCACUAACAACGCACUGACACUGAUGGACGAAAGCGUGGGGAGCGAACA
This 207-nucleotide ribosomal RNA is filed under the name uncultured bacterium. RNAcentral describes it as "partial 16S ribosomal RNA". It matches the Rfam family "Bacterial small subunit ribosomal RNA", at positions 568 to 774 of the family's 1533-position model. The record is from RNAcentral.